AGUGAACGCUGGCGGUAGGCCUAGCUCAUGCACGUCGAACGGGAGCACAGUACGUGUUUGCUCGUACGAGUGGCGAUUGCCGGAUGUUGGCGGAAUACGUCGGAAUCUACUUUUUCGUGGGGGAUAACGUAGGUAAACUUACGCUAAUACCGCAUACGACCUACGGGUGAAAGCAGCGGAUCUUCGGAUCUUGCGCGAUUGAAUGAGCCGAUGUCGGAUUAGCUAGUUGGCGGGGUACAGGCCCACCAAGGCGACGAUCCGUAGCUGGUCUGAGAGGAUGAUCAGCCACACUGGAACUGCGACACGGUCCAGACUCCUACGGGAGGCAGCAGUGGGGAAUAUUGGACAAUGGGCGCAAGCCUGAUCCAGCCAUACCGCGUGGGUGAAGAAGGCCUUCGGGUUGUAAAGCCCUUUUGUUGGGAAAGAAAAGCAGCAGGUUAAUACCCCGCUGUUCUGACGGUACCCAAAGAAUAAGCACCGGCUAACUUCGUG
Molecule: ribosomal RNA, 492 nt
Filed under: uncultured bacterium
Lineage: Bacteria
Description: partial 16S ribosomal RNA
Rfam family: Bacterial small subunit ribosomal RNA
Source: RNAcentral